RNAcentral lists this ribosomal RNA (422 nucleotides) under uncultured bacterium. Its description in RNAcentral is "bacterial SSU rRNA". It matches the Rfam family "Bacterial small subunit ribosomal RNA", at positions 362 to 775 of the family's 1533-position model. The record is from RNAcentral.
UCUUCCGCAAUGGACGAAAGUCUGACGGAGCCACGCCGCGUGAGUGAUGACGGUUUUCGGAUCGUAAAACCCUGUUGAUAGGGAAGAACAAGUACUGUUCGAAUAGGGCGGUACCUUGCCGGUACCCAACCAGAAAGCCACGGCUCACUACGUGCCAGCAGCCGCGGUAAUACGUAGGUGGCAAGCGUUGUCCGGAAUUAUUGGGCGUAAAGCGCGCGCAGGCGGUUUCUUAAGUCUGAUGUGAAAGCCCCCGGCUCAACCGGGGAGGGUCAUUGGAAACUGGGGAACUUGAGUGCAGAAGAGGAGAGUGGAAUUCCACGUGUAGCGGUGAAAUGCGUAGAGAUGUGGAGGAACACCAGUGGCGAAGGCGACUCUCUGGUCUGUAACUGACGCUGAGGCGCGAAAGCGUGGGGAGCGAACAG